AGGUUGGCCGUCGGGAGCUGAAAUAGAGGCCAGGACUCCUGGCUCCCCGUCCAGACUCUGAGGACCCAGGAGCCUCCAUGGGUACACUCAGAGGCCACACUAGAUGCAAAAAGAACCAUUUACAGAGAAGUGAGAGGUUCUCAAAGGCUCAACCAAAUGCCUCUGCCAGGAGAAUCUUUCAGAGUGUCCUGGAACAUUGGAAAUAGGCUUAAAGCUUAAAUGAUGAAUCAGAAGAGUUAUGCUGUAUUCUAAUGCUGCCACUAGGUGGUCCUGAAAGGAGGAGGUGCUUUGCUUCUCUUUUUCGCAGAUGUCAAUUAUGGAUCAACUUCUGAGUCACAUAGAAGAGCACCAUCAAUUGGCCAUUUCUCACCUGAUCACUGAGGAUAUAAAGUGCUUUUCCAGACUCCAGGACUCGGUUCAUUGCUAGUAUCAGGACGCCUCUCAUGUAUGGGAAGCCAGAAACAUCCCAGGAGCCUCACUGACUGCUUGGGCACAGCCCUCUGAGCAGACCUAUGAAGAAACAGAAGGAUUUGUGCCUUUUAGGUAUCUCUGGUCAAAACAGGUAUUUGAAGUUCUGAUUCUGCUAUUAUCUGGCACCUCCACUUGGCCCAUUGCUGGAAAUAUUAGGACUAGAAAACAUCAAGAUCAGGCACCGAACAGGCAAAUCUCCACUGAGUGGUUCUGAUGUGCAAAUAGCUGAUGAAGACUGGUUAUGGUUAUAAAAUGGAACACAGUUUUCUAAUUACAUAGUGUGUGGGUCUCGUGUGUGUGUGUGUGUGCAUGCAUGUGUGUGCAUGUGUGUGUUCGUGUGUGUGUGUGUGCAUGUAUAUCUAAGGUGCUUCACAUUUAGCUCUCAGCUCUCAGAAUGAGUCCACAUUCUGAGGUAAAUCUAUGGUGUUUGAUACCAACCAAUUUGAGAGAAACAUCUGGUGUCAUUUGCUUUUCUAGAUUCAUUUUUAUAUCUCCAAGACAGAGACACAACAAAGCUUUACUUAGGGCCAACUUAUUCUAAAGUUUUAUUGGUAUCUAGAAGUAGACACCCAUGUCUCUUCCACUUCCUUAUUUGAAUAAAAUUAAGUGGGUCUAGUCCUUACCUUAAUUCUCUCUUAAAAAUGCUCAAGAAAACCAAUUUCAAUAGCUGGGCCUAAAACAAUAUUACAAAACUUGGGUGCUAGGAUUAUAACAAGGAUUUUUCCAACCAGCAAGAAACAAAGCAAGACUUUCAAACAGUUUUAUUAUUUUUUAUCUUUUUAAAAAUUGUAUUGGGGUAAAAUACACGUAGCAUAAAAUUUACCAUCUUAACCAUUUUUAGGCCUACAGUUCAGUGGUACUAAGUACAUUCCUAUUGUUAUACGGCCACUACCACUAUCCAUCUCCAGAAUCUUUUCAUCUUCCCAAACUGAAAUUCUGCCUCCAUUAAACAAUAACUCCCCAGUCCCAUCUUUCCCCAGGCCCUGGAAACCACCAUUCUAUUUUCUGUCUUUAUAAAUUUCACUACUCUAGACAUUUCAUAUAAAGAGAAUCAUAUAAUA
Molecule: long non-coding RNA, 1532 nt
Filed under: Homo sapiens (human)
Lineage: Eukaryota; Metazoa; Chordata; Mammalia; Primates; Hominidae
Description: FRMD6 antisense RNA 2
Source: RNAcentral